This 447-nucleotide ribosomal RNA is filed under the name uncultured organism. RNAcentral's name for it is "partial 16S ribosomal RNA". It matches the Rfam family "Bacterial small subunit ribosomal RNA", at positions 333 to 797 of the family's 1533-position model. The record is from RNAcentral.
ACACUCCUGCGGGAGGCAGCAGUGGGGAAUAUUGGACAAUGGGCGCAAGCCUGAUCCAGCCAUGCCGCGUGAGUGAUGAAGGCCCUAGGGUUGUAAAGCUCUUUCACCGGUGAAGAUAAUGACGGUAACCGGAGAAGAAGCCCCGGCUAACUUCGUGCCAGCAGCCGCGGUAAUACGAAGGGGGCUAGCGUUGUUCGGAUUUACUGGGCGUAAAGCGCACGUAGGCGGACUAUUAAGUCAGGGGUGAAAUCCCGGGGCUUAACCCCGGAACUGCCUUUGAUACUGGUAGUCUUGAGUUCGAGAGAGGUGAGUGGAAUUCCGAGUGUAGAGGUGAAAUUCGUAGAUAUUCGGAGGAACACCAGUGGCGAAGGCGGCUCACUGGCUCGAUACUGACGCUGAGGUGCGAAAGCGUGGGGAGCAAACAGGAUUAGAAACCCCGGUAGUCCC